CCAGACUCCUACGGGAGGCAGCAGUGGGGAAUAUUGCACAAUGGGCGAAAGCCUGAUGCAGCAACGCCGCGUGAAGGAAGACGGUUUUCGGAUUGUAAACUUCUGUUCUUAGUGAAGAAUAAUGACGGUAACUAAGGAGCAAGCCCCGGCUAACUACGUGCCAGCAGCCGCGGUAAUACGUAGGGGGCAAGCGUUGUUCGGAAUGACUGGGCGUAAAGGGUGUGUAGGUGGUUUGAUAAGUUAGAUGUGUAAUACCCAGGGCUUAACUCGGGUGCUGCAUCUAAAACUGUUAGACUUGAGUACUGGAGAGGAUAGUGGAAUUCCUAGUGUAGCGGUGGAAUGCGUAGAUAUUAGGAGGAACAUCAGUGGCGAAGGCGACUAUCUGGACAGCAACUGACACUGAGGCACGAAAGCGUGGGGAGCAAACAGGAUUAGAUACCCCCGUACA
This 448-nucleotide ribosomal RNA is filed under the name uncultured bacterium. Its description in RNAcentral is "bacterial SSU rRNA". It matches the Rfam family "Bacterial small subunit ribosomal RNA", at positions 331 to 794 of the family's 1533-position model. The record is from RNAcentral.